GCUUACGGCCACACCUCCCUGAGCACACCCGAUCUCGUCUGAUCUCGGGAAGCUAAGCAGGGUCGGGCCUGGUUAGUACUUGGAUGGGAGACCGCCUGGGAAUACCAGGUGCUUAAAGCC
This 120-nucleotide ribosomal RNA is filed under the name Esox lucius (northern pike). Lineage: Eukaryota; Metazoa; Chordata; Actinopteri; Esociformes; Esocidae. The record is from RNAcentral.